GUCGACCUACCUGAUCGCGCUGUGCCAGGCGAUCGACCUAAGGCAUUUGGAGGAGAAUCUGAUGCACGCGGUGAAAAAUGCAGUGAGCCAGGUCGCGAAGAGGGUCCUGACGAUGGACACCGCAGGCGAGCUCCACCCUGCGAGGUUCUGCGUAAAGGAUCUGAUCAAAGUUGUCGACUGUGAAGCGGCUUUCAGCUAUGCUGAUGAUCCGUGCAGCCCGUCUUACCUGUUGAUGCAGAAACUCCGCCAGGUGCUCGUCGAGCACGCGCUCAAGAACGGCGAGAAGGAGAAGAAUUCGAACUCUUCAAUCUUCCAGAAGAUCACCGCCUUCGAGGAGGAGCUGAAGGCGAAUUUGCCGAAGGAAGUGGACGCUGCAAGGGUUGCAUUUGAGACGGGGAGUUCAGCGAUUCCGAAUAGGGUUAAGGAAUGCCGGUCGUAUCCGCUCUACAGGUUCAUAAGAGAGGAGCUCGGGACGGAGUACCUGACCGGCGAGAGGGUGCGGUCGCCAGGCGAGGAGUGCGAUAAGGUUUUCGCGGCGAUCAACGGCGGGUUGUUGAUUGAUCCUCUUCUUGAGUGCUUGAAGGAUUGGGAUGGUGCUCCCCUCCCCAUAUGCUAGAGAGACAAAGCCC
RNAcentral lists this long non-coding RNA (629 nucleotides) under Ananas comosus (pineapple). Its description in RNAcentral is "long non-coding RNA (ACOM_LNC012919)". Lineage: Eukaryota; Viridiplantae; Streptophyta; Magnoliopsida; Poales; Bromeliaceae. The record is from RNAcentral.